UACGGAGGGCGCAAGCGUUGUUCGGGGUCACUGGGCGUAAAGCGCGUGUAGGCGGCUUUGCAAGUCGGAUUUGAAAUCCCUAGGCUCAACCUCGGAACUGCACUCGAAACUGCCUGGCUCGAGUCCCGGAGAGGGUGGCGGAAUUCACGGUGUAGGGGUGAAAUCCGUAUAUAUCGAGAGGAACUCCAGUGGCGAAGGCGGCCACCUGGACGGUGACUGACGCUGUGACGCUAAAGCGUGGGGAGCAAACAGG
RNAcentral lists this ribosomal RNA (253 nucleotides) under uncultured bacterium. Its description in RNAcentral is "partial 16S ribosomal RNA". It matches the Rfam family "Bacterial small subunit ribosomal RNA", at positions 524 to 776 of the family's 1533-position model. The record is from RNAcentral.